UUCACAGCCACUUCCUCUCCAGUUUGUACAUUUGUACCCAAAUAAAGUUCUCCAAAUGAUCCGCUGCCGAUCUUCCUUCCAAGCUUAAACUUCCCACCUAUAAUAUGCUCCAUGACCUAAUUUACCAAUCCACCAAGCUCGCCUAUUAUAUAUCAAUCGACUCAAAAUUUAGUCCACCAUACACAAAUGGCAAAAAAAUGUUUCCCCGUCGGACAAUUCCGUUCUCAAUCCAGG
Molecule: unclassified non-coding RNA, 234 nt
Filed under: Hevea brasiliensis (rubber tree)
Lineage: Eukaryota; Viridiplantae; Streptophyta; Magnoliopsida; Malpighiales; Euphorbiaceae
Source: RNAcentral